GGAGGGGUCGCAUAGUGGACGAGUGCGCACGCUUGGAAAGCGUGUAUCCACAAUUAGUGGAUCGUGGGUUCGAAUCCCACCCCCUCCG
Molecule: transfer RNA, 88 nt
Filed under: Candidatus Omnitrophota bacterium
Lineage: Bacteria; Pseudomonadati; Candidatus Omnitrophota
Description: tRNA-Ser
Rfam family: tRNA
About the family: Transfer RNA (tRNA) molecules are approximately 80 nucleotides in length. Their secondary structure includes four short double-helical elements and three loops (D, anti-codon, and T loops). Further hydrogen bonds mediate the characteristic L-shaped molecular structure. tRNAs have two regions of fundamental functional importance: the anti-codon, which is responsible for specific mRNA codon recognition, and the 3' end, to which the tRNAs corresponding amino acid is attached (by aminoacyl-tRNA synthetases). tRNAs cope with the degeneracy of the genetic code in two manners: having more than one tRNA (with a specific anti-codon) for a particular amino acid; and 'wobble' base-pairing, i.e. permitting non-standard base-pairing at the 3rd anti-codon position.
Source: RNAcentral